RNAcentral lists this ribosomal RNA (253 nucleotides) under uncultured bacterium. RNAcentral describes it as "partial 16S ribosomal RNA". It matches the Rfam family "Bacterial small subunit ribosomal RNA", at positions 524 to 776 of the family's 1533-position model. The record is from RNAcentral.
UACGUAGGGUGCAAGCGUUGUCCGGAAUUAUUGGGCGUAAAGAGCUCGUAGGCGGUCUGUUGCGUCGGCUGUGAAAACCCGGGGCUCAACCCCGGGCCUGCAGCCGAUACGGGCAGACUAGAGUUCGGCAGGGGAGACUGGAAUUCCUGGUGUAGCGGUGAAAUGCGCAGAUAUCAGGAGGAACACCGGUGGCGAAGGCGGGUCUCUGGGACGUCACUGACGCUGAGACGCGAAAGCGUGGGGAGCAAACAGG